UGCCAGACUCCUACGGGAGGCAGCAGUGAGGAAUAUUGGUCAAUGGGCGAGAGCCUGGACCAGCCAAGUCGCGUGAGGGAAGACGGUCCUAUGGAUUGUAAACCUCUUUUGCCGGGGAGCAAAAAGCGGUACGUGUACCGCAUCGAGAGUACCCGGAGAAAAAGCAUCGGCUAACUCCGUGCCAGCAGCCGCGGUAAUACGGAGGAUGCGAGCGUUAUCCGGAUUUAUUGGGUUUAAAGGGUGCGCAGGCGGGGGGUUAGGUGAGGGGUAAAUUUGGGGGGCCCAACCCGGGCGAGCCGUUGAAACUGGCUUGCUAGAGUGGGCGAGAAGUAUGCGGAAUGCGUGGUGUAGCGGUGAAAUGCAUAGAUAUCACGCAGAACCCCGAUUGCGAAGGCAGCAUACCGGUGCACAACUGACGCUCAGGCACGAAAGCGUGGGUAUCGAACAGGAUUAGAUACCCCUGUAG
RNAcentral lists this ribosomal RNA (466 nucleotides) under uncultured bacterium. RNAcentral describes it as "bacterial SSU rRNA". It matches the Rfam family "Bacterial small subunit ribosomal RNA", at positions 329 to 793 of the family's 1533-position model. The record is from RNAcentral.